ACGUCGGAGCCGCCGAACCUGCCUCGCAGGACCGGGGACCCAGCACCGGCGCACAGCGCCCAGGGGUGAAUCCGGUGUUCGCACCGGUAGGGCGAUCUUCCCCGCCCGAACCCGUCAGCUAACCCGGUAGGCGGUCAAGGGAGAGAGG
This 148-nucleotide small RNA is filed under the name Acidothermus cellulolyticus. Its description in RNAcentral is "c-di-AMP sequence". It matches the Rfam family "c-di-AMP riboswitch aptamer (ydaO/yuaA leader)". From Rfam's summary of the family: This family represents a conserved RNA structure found upstream of the ydaO and yuaA genes in Bacillus subtilis and related genes in other bacteria. The ydaO/yuaA element is thought to act as a genetic "off" switch for the ydaO and yuaA genes in its native state. The record is from RNAcentral. RNAcentral also lists the same sequence under 1 other name. Lineage: Bacteria; Bacillati; Actinomycetota; Actinomycetes; Acidothermales; Acidothermaceae.